UCCGGUGCAUCCGAAAUGCUGUUCUAUGGAGGACGCUGGGUAAUGUUUACAUUUUUCUUCUGCGAGUGCGAAUAUUAAGUAAUUUGGAAGCUGUUUUCUCAUCAUCGCAAUGUUCAUUAGAGGCGCACUGUUUGCUGCUACAUGCGCUACCGUCAUCGUCUCGGAAUGGUAAAAAUAGAUGCCGUAAGAAAAAAGAAAGAGUCACAAACGUGUCGUGUGACGGCAAACUUGUGGGGCGCAAUUUCGGCAACAUAAUAUUACAGCGGGCUGUGAUGCAAUUUUAUGUAAUCAUGGUCGAAAUUUAAUGGAAAACCGCUUUAUUUGCUGGGAUUAUGUGCGUGCGAAUGUUCCUGUGACGCGGUCCGGAUGUUGAGCGGCGGUGGCAAUGCCGGGAUGCUCUCAGGACAGGGCGCAUCGGGUAUCGAAUCUCGCUCGGAUCUUCCUUCCGCACUCCAGGAGCAGGAAGCCGAAUUCCUCUGCUGAAUUGCUGUACUGCAUCGUCAUUGGCAACCGGAUGUAAUUUUGCUUCGAUAAAUCAGGGCAAGCAUAGCAGCCUUUGAAAAAUCGCUUCCAAUUCGUAUUUAACCUUAACCUCUUGGCUGCUGUAAGAUCCCUUGCACCGGAAACCGAAGUUGUGGAUCAGUUUUCUUUGUGGUACAUUUAAACGCAGUUCAAUAAGUACCGUGCACAAGUUUACAUGAGUAUCGCCUGUUUCUUCAAAUUCCCAUAGUGAAAGGUUGACUUUUGGAAAGCACGUGGUCGUAGGAACUUGAUAUAUCCUAUCAGAUUCUUCAGCUCUACACAAAAAUGCUACCUUAUUGCAAUUUACGUAGUCUCAACACUCAUAAGGAUCGAUUUGUAAGUUUUUAUUAACCGGGUUGGAAUUGGUUUACUACAUUUGCUCCCGUAGCCCUCAAGGAUGUGUUGGAUGUAUGUGCACGCCUGAAUAUAUGCAAUGUGUCAUUAGGUGCGCAGCAAAGUUAUGAUGUUUUUCCUUAAAAGUUUAUUUAAU
This is a long non-coding RNA of Anopheles stephensi (Asian malaria mosquito), 1012 nucleotides long. RefSeq lists it as uncharacterized. Lineage: Eukaryota; Metazoa; Arthropoda; Insecta; Diptera; Culicidae. The transcript is spliced from 4 exons. The record is from RefSeq and is a predicted model, not a curated record.